CCCUUAGAUGUUCUGGGCCGCACGCGCGCUACACUGACGAAUGCAACGAGCUUAUAACCUUGGCCGAAAGGUCUGGGUAAUCUCCAAAUUUCGUCGUGAUGGGGAUAGAUUAUUGCAAUUAUUAAUCUUCAACGAGGAAUGCCUAGUAAGCGUGAUUCAUCAAAUCGCGUUGAUUACGUCCCUGCCCUUUGUACACACCGCCCGUCGCUCCUACCGAUUGAGUGUGUUGGUGAGGAGCUCGGAUUGGCAGCAGGUGGUGGUUCGCCACCGCCUAUUGCUGAGAAGUCCUCCAAACCGCCCCACUUAGAGGAAGGAGAAGUCGUAACA
RNAcentral lists this ribosomal RNA (327 nucleotides) under uncultured eukaryote. RNAcentral describes it as "partial 18S ribosomal RNA". It matches the Rfam family "Eukaryotic small subunit ribosomal RNA", at positions 1470 to 1796 of the family's 1831-position model. The record is from RNAcentral.